This is an RNA transcript of Vigna angularis (adzuki bean), 6044 nucleotides long. It is a transcript of the gene named probable acyl-activating enzyme 16, chloroplastic, with no coding region annotated. The record is from RefSeq and is a predicted model, not a curated record. The transcript is spliced from 16 exons. NCBI's taxonomy places the organism in Eukaryota, Viridiplantae, Streptophyta, Magnoliopsida, Fabales, Fabaceae.
UACGAAUGAGUUGUCCUAUUCAUUGUCGAUACCACCCACCCACCUACCACCGAACAAAGCGGCGCUUAGUAACUGCCAGUUUGACUAUUUAGUUUCCCUUCGACAUCGACAAAGGAGCCACCGUAACUAUUUUCUCCUUAUCAGUGAAUCAUUUUCAUUCUACAAUGUCUUAGGCCAUUCUUCUGCAUUUUUAUGGUUCUCCGUGUUUUCCUUCUCCAGAAAAUCACCAAAUGGCCAUAGUUCCCAUCACCUACAGCCACACAUGGACCUUCUCUAAUCCUCAUUAUGCACUUCCCCUCUUCCACUCACGCACCAAUUUCACUAGGAUCAAAUUUUCUCCCACCAAGUAUGGUGAUGGCCUUGCCCCCUCUUCACCCCUCUCUCAUUUCCGAGUAUUUUGCCGAUCUGAGAGAGAGACAAUUGAGAUAAGAAGGUGCGCCCCUUUUCUAGAAAGUUCAACACUCGUAGAUAAUGGUGGUGUGGCCUCAGAUGAGUGGAAAGUAGUUCCUGAUAUUUGGCGAUCUUCUGCGGAGAAGUAUGGUGACAAUGUAGCCUUAGUAGAUACAUGUCAUCAUCCUCCUACUACUAUGACGUAUAAACAGGUGGAGCAGGCAAUUUUGUAUUUUGCAGAAGGCUUGAGAGUUAUAGGGGUAAAACCUGAUGAGAAGGUUGCACUUUUUGCGGACAAUUCAUGUCAUUGGCUUGUAGCAGAUCAAGGUAUGAUGGCAAGUGGAGCAAUAAAUGUGGUAAGAGGCUCAAGGUCAUCGGUUGCAGAACUUUUGCAAAUAUACAACCACUCUGAAAGCGUUGCACUAGUGGUGGAUAACCCUGAAAUGUUCAACCGGAUUGCAAACACAUUCUAUUCAAGCACUACCAUGAGGUUUAUUAUCUUGCUUUGGGGAGAAAAAUCAGAGCUGGUUGAUCAAGAAAGCAAGCACGUGCCAGUGUUUACUUUCACAGAAGUCAUAGAUUUGGGACGAGAGAGUGGCAGGCCAUUAUCUAAGGCUGAACAGCGCCAUAUGAAUGAACCAAUACACUUAGACAGUAUUGCUACUCUCGUAUACACAAGUGGAACUACUGGAAAUCCCAAAGGUGUAAUGCUCACCCAUCAGAAUCUUCUGCAUCAGAUAAAAAACUUAUGGGACAUAGUACCUGCAAAAGUUGGGGAUAGAUUUCUAAGCAUGCUGCCACCUUGGCAUGCAUACGAAAGAGCUUGUGAGUAUUUCAUUUUCACAUGCGGAAUUCAGCAAGUAUACACAACCGUGAAGAAUCUGAAGGAUGAUUUGCGACGCUAUCAACCACAUUACUUGAUUUCUGUUCCUUUAGUUUUUGAAACCUUGUACAGUGGAAUCAUGAAGCAGAUAUCUACUAGUUCUGCUGUUAGAAAGCUUGUCGCACUAACAUUCAUUAGGGUCAGCUUAGCAUACAUGGAAUGUAAGCGCAUUUAUGAGGGUAAAUGUCUAACAAUGAACGAGAAGCAGGUCUCCUACGUGAAUUCAAUGUUGGACUGGCUGUGGGCCAGAAUUAUGGCCACAUUAUUACUACCGGUUCAUAUUUUGGCUAAGAAACUUGUGUACAGUAAAAUCCAUGCUUCUAUUGGAAUAUCAAAGGCUGGAAUAAGUGGAGGUGGUAAUUUGCCGUGGGAAGUCGAUAAGUUUUUUGAGGCAAUUGGUGUGAAAGUACAAAAUGGAUAUGGUUUAACAGAAACUUCACCAGUUGUAGCAGCUCGAAGACCUGGAUGUAAUGUUCUUGGAUCUAUUGGGCAUCCAAUUCGUGAAACGGAAUUCAAAGUCGUAGAUUCUGAAACUGAUGAAGUUCUUCCACCUGGUUCAAAGGGAAUUUUAAAAGUCAGGGGUCCACAAGUGAUGAAAGGAUACUUCAAGAAUCCUUUAGCUACAAUUCAGGCAUUAGACGGUGAUGGAUGGUUGAAUACUGGUGAUAUAGGGUGGAUUGUUCCCCAUCAUUCAAUUGGGCGGAGUCGUCAGUCUAGUGGCAUGAUUAUUGUGGAAGGCCGUGCUAAAGACACUAUCGUACUUUCGACGGGUCUUUCUUCUUCUUUUUUCCAUUCUUGCACCAUGAUGGAUGAGCAUAACCAGCCUUUGAGCUUUUUGAGUCUUCACCCGAGAGCCCAACCAACUCCUUGGUUUCCCCUAUUCUUGAUUCAACCAAUUACUAUGCAUGGAGAAAAUCCAUGACCACUGCAUUGAGGGCCAAGAAUAAAUCUCAGUUCAUCGAUGGGACUGCCGCAGAACUACCUCAAGGAGAUCCCUCUCAUAACGCCUGGAAAAGAUGCAACAACAUGGUGGUUUCUUGGUUGGUCCACUCAGUUUCACCAAAAAUUAGACACAACAUUCUUUGGAUGGAAGACGCCCUAGCAAUCUGGAAUGAUCUCAAAUCAAGAUUCUUCUAGGGAGAUUUGUUGCGCAUCUCCGAGCUACAAAGAGAAGCUUCUUCCCUAAAGCAAGGAACAUACACCGUCAGUGAGUUUUACAUUAAGUUGCGUAUCAUAUGGGAUGAGUUAGAGAACUUUCGACCUGAUCCCAUAUGCACUUGUGACGUCCAAUGCUCCUGCAAAAUGAUCUCAACGAUCUCACAAAGGAAGCAUGAAGACCGAGCAUUGCAAUUCCUUCGUGGCUUAAAUGAGUAGUAUAGUAAUAUCCAAUCUCAUGUCCUCUUAUUGGAUCCUAUACUCCCCGUUUCCAAGAUCUUUUGCUAUGCCAUGCAGCAGGAAAGAAAAUUGAUGAAUAACAAUUUCUUAAAUAGCCUUGAACCCAAAAAUGUCAAUGCAACUAUAUGUACUCUUAUUUGUUCCUUUUGUGGCAAGACUGGCCACACUGGCACUGUGUGUUUCAAGAAACAUGGGUUUCCUGCAAAACUCCCUCCAAAUAAGAAAUAUUGCUCUCACUGUGGCAAGACAGGCCAUACGGUUGAUGUAUGCUAUAGGAAACAUGGAUACCCACCCGGUCACAACUUCUACAAUGGUAAAAGUCUCCUCUCAAGAAGCCAAGAACCCAUCAAUGACAGUCCGAGAUAUAAUUUUGAUCCUGAAGUGCGCCUCACUAAGCAAUAAUAUUAGGCCCUCGUGGCUCUCAUGAACCCCACUGCUGACACUGCCUCCAACCCUCAAAUCGGUUCCGUGAUUUCCAAUUCCCAAGACCCAGGAUUCAACAACCACAAUAUUGGUUCAGCUGACCUCCACGCUAGUCUAUAUGUCCUUCAUGGCCCUACCCUCACUAUUGUUUCUUUUGUUCACUUUGCUAGUUCACAACAGCCACUCAUUGCUGCCAAUAACAACAUUUGUCACAACUGCUUAGGCAACCUAUCUGAUAAGAGACUGGAGGUUCCUAAACAAAAAUAUUCUUACAUCAAAUAUAGAUAAAACAAUUGUAAUGUCUGCCACAUUGCCAAACAAAAGAAAUUGCCUUUUACUUCACAUAACUCUGUUGCUUUACAUGCUUUUGAUCUUAUACAUAUAGAUAUUUGUUGACCUUGUUCCAUUGCAUCCAUACAUUCUCAUAGAUAUUUUUUAACAAAUGUCGAUGCAAGAAAUCACAUUUUGCAUUUCAUAUCUUAUAUCAAAAACCAAUUUCAAACCACCAUUAAAAUCAUCAGAUCUGAUAAUGGUCCUGAAUUUUCUAUGCACGACUACUUUAGUCCUCAAGGGACUUAAACCUCCUGUAAUGAAACCUCUCAACAAAAUAGGAUUGUUGAAAGAAAACAACAACACCUUUUAAAUGUCACUAGGGUCUUGCUUUUUCAUUCAAAACUUUCUACUCAAUUAUGGACAUAUGCUCUCAAUUAUGCCACUCUUCUCAUUAAUAUCAUGCCUACUCCCCUUCUCAAUAACGACUCUCCAUAUGACAAACUUUACCACACAACUUUUGAUAUCACUGGACUUAGAGUUUUCGGAUGCCUUUGCUACACCAACACCCUUCAAUCUCAUAGAAAGAAACUAGAUCCGCGUGCUAUUGCUAGUGUUUUCAUUGGUCUUCAUCCCACUGCUAAAGGAAAUAUAACUUACAAUGUUGACACUCAUGCCAUUCACAUCUCUAAAAAUGUUGUUUUCUGUGAAAAUGAAUUUCUUGAUAUGGCAUCUAUUUCCUCACUUCAUUAUGCUUUACCUCCCUCUAUCAUCACAUCAUCAUACCAUUCUACAUGAUACUGAUCAACCCACUCCCCCUGUCCCUAAUCAUUCUUCUUCUCUUAACAAUGAAGAGCAUUUAGACAAUAAUUUCAUUUCCCCUAGGCGAUCUACUCGCACUAGAACUAUGCAUGUGUUAUGACCUCGGCAAGUGUACCGAAUUGUAUCAAGUAAUAAAUAUGGUAAGACCAAAUAUCGUUUCUCAAGAGAUUCACAGCCUAAACAGUUAUGUGAUUUCCUGAUUAAAUAUGACUUGAGAACAAAAUCUUUUGGUUUAAAAUGCAGAAAAUAAACAUGAAUGCUAGUGUUGAUCAAUGGACAAUAAAAAUGCACAUGUGAUUGGUUUGUAAAAUAUGGAAUGGUUAUGUUGUUUGGGGUUUCGACUUAUCCUAUCCACUCUCAUGUAUUUAUGAAUUCGUCUUCUUCAUUAAUGUUAAUGUCACUUUCUAAUUUACUUUAGACCCGAUGUCUCGGCGAAGAAAGCCUAUCCUUAAUUACUAGUUUACAAUGUCUUGUCUCCCUAACAAUUAAUUCUGCAUUAUAAACGCACAGAAGCUUAAAGGCAACCAAUCCUCAUAUCCCUAUGUCUAGGCAAUACUGCUUUUGGGAGAGAUUCCCAGAUCUAGAUUUUCCCGUAUGUGUCCAUAUCGACAAAAUCAAUUAUCAUGUUAUGAAUGAGUUAAACAAAGCAAACAUAGAGUAUAGACGAAAAACCCUAACAAUUAAUGAACAAAGAAUUUAAAAUAAGAAUCAAUUCAAUACAUGAGAGUUUCAAAGGAUUACAUAAUUUCCCCAAUAACAAUUGAAGUUUAGUUCACGAUAGACAUGGUGAAACUAGAUGAAUAAUGGAAAAGAAUGAGAUAGAAAAACCCUAAAAGUUGAAGAUAGGAGCUUCCGCCUCCUAAUCCGCCUCCAAGAGAGUGUUUCUGCGCCUCUUCUGUUAAAAGAUACCAAGUCUAGGAUGUCCAAAUCCUUAAAUAGAGCACAAAAAAAAUCCAAGCCCACGAGACUGGUGCUCAUCGCCCCAACUUAGUGCGCCCAGGCGUGACUACGAAAGCAUUUGUGCUCAGCGGCCCUAGAAGGGCGCCCAGGCGUGAGUUGUGGUACUAACUGGCGCUCAGCGGCACAAAAAGGGCGCUCAAGCGCCAAGGCGAGACUUCAGCGCUGAGGUCCUCCAAAAGGGCACUCAGGCGCCACCUGCGGUUCUUCUCUCUGAUGAUUUUCCAACUUUUCCUGAGUUUCAGCUCCUUGAUACUUAAACUCUUCUUUCAAACCAUCCUAAUUCUUGUUAAAAUUAGGAAAACCAAGCGUAAAACCAAAAAUUCCACCUUCAAUUCUCUUAUUCUCAUAACUAAAGCAAAAUCAUGAUUUUAAGUAAGUUUCUAAGUCAUAAAGGAUGUUUUUAGUAUCUAAAUUAAGUAUCAAAUAACGGUAUUUUCAACCGUUAUCAACAUGCAUACCCCAAAGACUUUCAAAUAACAUCCUAUAUAGUACAUUUACAAACAAAUAUCCUAUUGAACAUGUGCUUAGUUUUGAUAAACUAUCUCUUGAAUAUUGAAAUUUUAUCUCCUCUAUAGACAACACCAAUGUAAGGUGCCACCAUCACCAUCCUGUUAAUCUACGUUGAUGAUAUCAUUCUCAUUGGAAAUAAUAUAUUUGCAAUUGAUCAUAUUACUAAUAUACUAAAUGAGCAAUUAAAAAUAAAAAACAUGAGUAACUUGUCUUACUUUUUGAGUUUCGAGGUUGCUCGCAACUCUGCAGGAAUCCAUGUAUCACAACGUAAGUAUGCAUUGGAUUUUCUCAAUGAAACCGGGAUGCUCGUCGCUGCCCCUUUAGUACACCCAUGAAUUUCUCUACAAAAGUGUCCUCCAAAGGCCAACUGCUUGCGGAUCCCACUGCCUUU